Molecule: long non-coding RNA, 455 nt
Filed under: Mytilus galloprovincialis (Mediterranean mussel)
Lineage: Eukaryota; Metazoa; Mollusca; Bivalvia; Mytilida; Mytilidae
Source: RNAcentral
UAUAUUAAGCUUACUAAAUCCCUGGUCAUUUUGUUUUUGUCUUGCUGUCAAAAUCAAGAAUUAUAUUAAUCUAGGUAAAAAAAAAAAUAGAAUUUGCAGUUCGGACAAAAUAGAGAUAAUACACUUUAAUUUUUUUUAAUAACUUUUUCAAAUCAACUUGGAUUUUUAUCAAACUAUGUAGCUAUCUUAGAUAUAUAUUAAGCUUACUAAAUCCCUGGUCAUUUUUUUUUUUUUUGUAUUGCUGUCAAAAUCAAGAAUUAAAUUAAUCUAGGUAAAAAAAAAUAGAAUUUUCAGUUCGGACAAAAUAGAGAUAGUACACUUUAAUUUUUUUAAUAACUUUUUCAAAUCAACUUGGAUUUCCAUCAAACUAUGUAGCUAUCUUACAUAUAUAUUAAGCUUACUGAAUCCCAGGUCAUUUUAUUUUUUGUUGUAUUGCUGUCAAAUUCAAGAAUUAA